RNAcentral lists this long non-coding RNA (13931 nucleotides) under Citrus sinensis (sweet orange). Its description in RNAcentral is "long non-coding RNA (CSIN_LNC000714)". Lineage: Eukaryota; Viridiplantae; Streptophyta; Magnoliopsida; Sapindales; Rutaceae. The record is from RNAcentral.
CCAAGGCCAUAGCUAAAGCGUUUCCUAAUUUGGAGUGCACUGAUUUUGAUCUGCCACAUGUGGUUAAUGGCCUCGAAAGCGAUUUGGCCAAUCUCAAAUAUAUCGGAGGGGACAUGUUUGAGGCCAUUCCCCCAGCUGAUGCGGUUCUAUUCAAGGUACGCGUAUUGAUUUCGAUAGUUUAACUAAAGUGGUUUCUUGAGCAUAAAAUUAAUACACACACACACACUAGAAGCAUCUCAAAUUACUUAUGUACAUCAUAUAUUCAUUCAAUUUUACAUUUUGGGUCUUCAAAUAUUCUAAAUUCUAAUAUUAUUGGUGAUGACAAGCAGUGGAUAUUACAUGACUGGAAUGAUGAAGAAUGCGUGAAGAUUCUUAAGAAAUGUAAGGAAGCAAUUACGAGCGAUGGCAAGAAAGGUAAGGUGAUUAUUAUUGACAUGAUGAGAGAGAAUAAAAAAGGGGAUUCUGAGUCUAUUGAAACACAACUCUUCUUUGAUAUGUUGAUGAUGGUCUUGGUCACCGGAACAGAGCGAGAUGAGAAAGAAUGGGCCAAGCUUUUUGCAGAUGCUGGUUUUAGUGACUAUAAAAUUACCCCCAUUUUAGGUUUAAGAUCUCUUAUUGAGGUUUAUCCUUAAUAAGUUGUUUCUCGAUCCUAGGGUUAGACUGAGUAGUUUCAAAACAAUUUUAUUUAGAAGGAUCAUCUAAAUUUGAAUCUAAAAAAAUAUAAGAGUUAAAAUUUAAAUUAGACAUUACCUAUUAUAUCUUUUAUGUGAAUAUUAAAUGCUUGUUUAUGUAUUGUUGUAAUAAGCUUUAUUUUACUGGGGUUCUCCAGUGGGUUGUAACUUACCUAGUAUGUUAGUUGCAAAAUGAGAACCCAAGUUAGUAAUUUGCGAGUGUGCUAAAGAAAUGGAAGUUUUGUGAAAUAAAUAAAAAGAAAGCAUUCUGUACUAUUUAUAUGUUUUAGCACGUAUAUGAAUGAUAAUUUGGUCCCUGUUAUGUAUACUAAAUGUCCUACGUACAUAAUUAGGUCUCUAGAAAAUUUUUAAUAUUCGAUUUCAUCUAGGGUGUUAAAAUCGUGACAGAGAAAAACACACUACAUUGUCAUUGAAUUUAGAUAAUCUCUCAAAUAGAAGAAAUAUGCCGUUUGCAAUUCAAUUACAUUGUUUUUUUUUUCCUAAUGCGUUUACAGUGACAUGUUAGUUUUAUCAAUGGUUUAAAUUUCAAGCAAGGUUAUGAACAGGAUUUAUUAAAACAAUGGCAAUGAUAAUAAAAGACGAUAUUCUUCUAUUAAAUCAACUAUUUAAUGCACAAAAAAAAUCAUUAUCCUAAUCAUUGCAUUAUAAUCAAUAAUUUGAAUUUAAAUAAAUACUUAUUGGACAUUAAUAGACUGAUUUCCUGAGAAGUUUGACUUGAAUAAUACCUAUAAAAAAAAUCAAUUUUAUGUUUUAGUCUUAAGAUUUAAACUAGGGCGUCAUAUAAAUAAAACUGCUUAAAACUACUUGAUUAAAUUUUUUGGAGUAAAUAUAAUUACGUAUGUUUAACCCAAAAAAAUUUAAUAAAAUUAUUAAAUUAAUUAUUAUUUAGUUUUAGAAAGUAAAUAAAUGGACAAAAUCCAAAUCAAUUUUCAACUCUGUAUCUCACAAGACUUAAACUCAAUUAACUAACUAAAUAAAACUUUUGAAACCUAUUCAGAAAAUCAUUCCGCCAUGUCGUCGGGCAUAAGUAAUAGAGAAUUUUCUAUAUUGGAUAGGGCCCUAAGUGGGUCAACUUUGCUGAUCCAUAUGCUGAUGUUACCUUUUUUCAAAAAAAAAAAAUUCUUCUUAUUAAGCGAAGAUGCUGCCAAGCUUCUUGACCCAUUUUAUUUAUUUAUUUAUUUAAUAGGAUGGACAAAGUUAAAAGUUUAAUUAGAUUUAUUUAAUUUUUUAUUCCUCUUAAAAUUUGAAUUUGUGUGGGUAGCAAAAUAAAAUUACUUAAAAAUUAUUUGGUUAGAAUCAUGAGAUCGGUUUCUGCACCCAUUCAAGUAAAAAUGUUUAUAAAAAGGCUAAAUUUUGAAUUGUCUCCCUUCUGAAUUGAUCAUCUUCAAAUUAUUUUCUAACUUUUGAAAACCUCAAGUUACUCUUAUUUUUGUAUAAAAGAUAAAGAAAAAAGGAGUGAGUUGAUAUUUUUUUUCUUAAGAAAAAUAAGGAGUAAAUUGAGAUUUUUAAAAAUAAGAAGAGUGAUUUGAAGAGAAUAAAUUUACUAAUUAUCUUAUAUAAAUAUUAAUAAACAUUCUUAUAAAAUAGAUUGGAGGAAAAAUAUCGUGGCACGGGAUCAAAUUUGAAUAGCUUCGUCAACUCAAUAGAAUUAAUAUAAGAUUAAUCUCGAAAACAACAAUCCAUAACACGGUUCAUCAUUAAUGGGAAAAAGAAUAAUAAGGGUUAUUAUUAAAAUUCAGAGGGGUUUUUAAAGAAAAAGCAGAAUUUUUUAAAUUUUGGUGAUGGAUGUCAUGAUUCACGAGAAAUAGCAUGUAUCUCUAAAGGGCAUUUUUAAUGGGUUCAAUGUAUCCAUCUGCCGAGUGCCGACCCAUGUGCUGAUAAAAUUGAUAUUUAAAUUUUUUAAUACAUGGGGUUAUUUUUCGCCAUCCCCCAUAAGAAUCAACAAAUGUUACCGUAUACCCUAAUCUUUUAACAACUGUCACUACACACCCAUUCAAUUGGAAAUCACUAUUAACUUAACUGUUAUAAGGGUAAAAUAGUAAAGUUAUUGGGAUGGCUAAAGAAAAAAAGAAAAAUUUUAUUUUUUUCUCUUCCUUCUCCAUGACUCCAUUCACGUUCCAUCUUCUCUCCUCUAUUUACACUCCGCAACAAAGUGCUCAUUUUCUUCCCUUCUCCAUUCACGCUCCACAACAAGGUUUUUCACUUUUCCCUAGCAUCAACGUCACAAGGGUCACAUAACCAAUUGCACUACCGCAACAAAUGUCCAUUUCUGGGUGGAAACAAGCAGUAGGAGCAUGACGCUAGACCAAGAGGGUUCUAGCAGUUCAAAGAGUCAUGGGUUGCUGCUAACUAAUGCAGCGCCAACAAUGGUGACUAGCAACUAUAAAAUCCCAACCCCAAAAUUUUACGGUUCCAUGUUAUUAUUCAUUGAUUUUUAGGUUUGGGCAGUUGAUAGUUUGUUUGAUAUAUAAAUUAUUUUGAUUGUGCUAUGAAAUUGGAAGUUUAUGUCGUUGUCUGUGGUGCUUUCAAAGCAGAUAUUUGGUUAUUGCUAUAAAUACUGCCUUGAGGUUAGAGCUUGGAGUUGGAGAUGUCUUAUGGGUUUUGGUUCCAGGACUAAUAAUGUCCAAUUAAUUUUAGUUUUAAUUUAAUCUCUUUAAAAAAAUAGCUUUAAUUUAAUUUUAAUUAUUUUCGGUUUUCAUUUAACAUUGUUUUUACACAUUCUAUAAUUAUCUUUUUUGAAGAAAAUAAAGUGCCAACUGCCAAUUAACAUAUUCUUAUAAUUCCUUAAAAAUGUAUGGGCCAUUUAGUACUUGCAGUUAAUUCAAUUUAUAUGGGGGCAUUAUGGUGAUUUCAAUAGAUGUCUGACAAAAUCGUUAAGGUUAACAUUAAUUUCUAACGGAAUGUGUGUGCGGUGAUAGUUGCCGAAAGAUUAGGGUGCACAGUAACAUUUGUUGAUUCUUAUGGGGGGUGGCAAAAAAUAACUAAUACAUAAAACGGGGUAUUGAGUAUCGAGCAUCAAGGUCGUUCAAAUUAUAAAUUAUUAUAUAAUUUUUUAUUUAAAAAAAUGUAAAUCAGGGGGCUAAUCUAUAAUGCCUGCAAUUGAAAAUUCCUCAAAAGGCAAGAAGUUAAAGAAGGGAGUUAAUGUUGUGCGCAAAAUGUGAAAUCAAGCGCACCAAAUAAUCACAAAAAAAUAAAGAACACAAAAUUUAACGUGAUUCGGCAAUUUUGCCUACGUCCAUGGGAGGAAGAGAAAAUAAUUAUAUUAUUAACAAUUAUCAUAGUACAAUAUUUGAGUAGAAAUCUCGCUUCAUAAAACUCAAAUACACCCAGUACUCUCACACACUUGAAAGGAAAAACUUCUCAAUUGCUCAUACUCACUCUCAAUAAUUUUACAAAUGAAUUAUUAUUCACUCAAUUUUUUGGGAUGCUCAACAAAUGAAAAAACUCCAUCUAUUUAUAGGAAGCGUUUUGCACUAUUACACAUUCGCUGCCCACCUACAAUUUAGUCAAUUUUUCCAAAUUGUUAAAGUUGUUAUGAAAUUGUUAAAUUGUCACAUGCUUCACCAACUCAUUUAGCUUCAAUUUCCACGAUUCCGGCCACAUGCUUCAUCAAUAUUUCUAAUAUUGCAGCUAGAAGAUCAUGCAUGUUGACUUUUCAACAGUUAAUUCAUAUACUACGUUGACAAUAUUUAAGCUCGCUUCUCGUUAAUGACAGAUUGUACAGAGAGACAGGAUUGGCACCCAGUGCUGAUAUACACGCAUACACUGUCAUUAGGUCUUUCAAAAUCCAAAUUUAUUUGAAUUAAAGCAUUAUAGUAAAAGAGUUGAAGUCUUGGGGAAUAUGGUACAAUAAAAAAGAUUAUGCAUGUCUUGUGAUCUAUUGUUACAUGCCCCUUUUGACCUAUUAUAAUUAUUUUUGUUGUAAAUUUCUGGUUGAUUUAAUUUCACUGCUGGGAUAAAAACAUUUGAGAUACAUGUUGUCCUACAAAUUAAACCUCUCAACUAAUCCCACUAGAUACUACAUAGUAUCAAUUGCUAAAUAAAGAGACAAGAAUCUUUAAAGGGUUCGCCAAGCUUUGAAUACCCUGAAAUGGAUAUGAAUCCUAUGAUUAAUGCAGAGAGUAGCAGCAGCAGCAGCAGCAGCUGUGAGCUUCUCAAAGCUCAAGCUCAGGUGUGGAAUUGUGCCUUCAAUUACACUAAUUCCAUGUCACUAAAAUGUGCCGUUGAACUUGGCAUACCAGAUGUUAUUCACAAACAUGGCCAGCCCAUGACUCUUUCACAGAUAGCUUCAGCACUCGAUAUCCAAAAAAACAAAGCUCAUUGCAUUCAACGCCUUAUGCGGAUUCUAGUUCACUCUGGCUUCUUUGCUCAACAAAAUAAAAUUGACAAAGACGAAUCAGAAGUGUAUUAUUCUCUUACACCAGCUUCUCGACUCCUCCUAAAGGAUGAGCCCUUGAGGGCCGCACCAUUUAUGUUUCUGAUAACCCAUCCUACAGUAACGACUCCCUUCAAUUUCUUGAGCUCUUGGUUCAAGAAUGAUGAUCCCUCUACGCCCACAGUGUUUGAGUCAACGCAUGGGAAAGACAUUUGGGGUUGUUUGGCUCAAGAAGCUAAAUUUAAAAACGUCUUUUAUGAUGCCAUGAUGGCUGACUCUCAGUUCAUAUCAAGCGUUCUGAUUAAAGAUUGUAAGGAGGUAUUCAAGGGGCUGAAGUGUCUGGUUGAUCUGGGUGGCGGCACUGGAACUAUGGCCAAAGCCAUCGCAGAAGCCUUUCCUGAAAUGAAAUGCAUCGUUUUUUAUCUCCCACAUGUCGUUGAUAAUAAUUUGCAGAAGCAGCAGGGGACUAAUAAGAACCUGGAAUUUCUUGGAGGCGACAUGUUUGAAGCAAUACCUCCAGCAGAUGCAGUUCUGCUCAAGGUAAUUAAAUUGAUUAAUAAUAGGAUUUCUAUUUUCUCUCCCACUUAAAUAUUAAUGUUUCAAUACUGAUAUAUACAGAGUCAUAACCUCAUUCUACAAAUAGCAGUCGCAUAUAUAACAAUUUUGGUCGAAGAAAAUAGAGUGGGGUUAUUUUAACUUAAAUUUUCUACUUAAAAUUUUGAAUUAUUUAUUUUAUACAAUCUAAUUUUAGAUAAAUUGAAUGUCAAAAUAACAUUUAAUGAUGUCAAAAUUCCUCCCUUAUUGUAUUGAAUAAGAUCAAUGGCUCAAAUUUUGAGUAAAAGAUUUUAUAAAAAAUUCAAGUUGAAAUAGACUCAUUCAAAUAUAAAAUAUUAAUGAAAAUUAAUUACAUACAUCAUGUGGAGUUUUUUAUUUUAUCAAAUCAACAUUGUUAUACUACAUCAGUUUGCACAAAGAGUUUGUGGAUCUAGUAUUACUGUUUUCUAUAUAUUAACAGAAUUCCAAGAUUUUUAACUUGUUAAUUAAAUUUAUAUGACAAAAUAUAUCUAUGAAGUGGGUUCUGCAUAACUGGGGUGAUGAAGAGAGCGUGCAGAUAUUGAAGAAGUGCAAAGAAGCUAUUGAUGGGAGCAAAGAUAAAGGAGGGAAAGUGAUUGUCAUAGACAUGGUCAUAGAAGAUCAAAGCAUAGACAAGGACUCAACCGAGACACAAUUGUGCUGUGACAUGUUGAUGAUGUCUUUAUUCAGUGUGGCCAAAGAGCGGAGCAUCAAAGAAUGGAAGAAGCUCUUCUUAGAAGCUGGUUUCAGCCAUUACAAUGUAAAUUCUACUUUUGGUCUGAUCCCAAUACUGAUAGUGAGCCGUUGAAGUGUAAGCAGGGAUUUGUCCCGGCCAUACCCCCAAAAUCGGGUAUUUAGCUAAAAAUACCCCCAUACUCCAAAAUUCCUCACAUAUGCCCUUUUUAAAGUGCAAAUACGAAAUUACCCUAAAUGAAAACCUAAAUCAUCUCAAGCAUUCACAACCAAGCUGCAACACAACCCCCAAAUUUCAUUCACGACCAGCCAGCAUUAUCAUUCACUACUAGCGUUCUCCAAGAACUCCGGUGAAGUCGCUCCGGUGGGCUUUGAGGUGAGAUGAACACCGACGAUGCUUCUACUGCUGGUAUUUCGCACUCUUGCUGCUGCUUGUUUUAACACCCAAAUCUGCUAUUUUAAAGGGAAAGUGGCCAAAUUAAAGUUGAGUCACCACAUCUACAAUUGAUUUUAGCAUAUGCUGGUUUUAUUGCACUAUUUUUUGUUACCCUAUUUUGAAUAUCUUGUUAAAAAAUUAAACUUCAACUUGACAAUUUUAUGCAAACCACGGUGGAUUUUAGCUUUGCUUCAAGAGGUAAUUAUCAAUGGAACUUUUUGACUGGGGUUUUUGAAAUACAAGUUAUGCAACUCAAGAGAGUGGGUGAAUUUGAUAUUUAAGCGCUGACAUCAUAAGGGUAAUUUAGUCUUUUUUUAAAAAUGACAUGUCAUCUCAUUUACAUAGUAAAAAACGACAUGUCAUAUGCUAUAUUUUGAUAAAAAUGACAUGUCAUCCCAUUUAUCAGAUAAUUGUUAAUAAUUGCUAAAAAAAAAAAAAUUACUUUACAACCGAAUCUACUCCUCCAAAAUUUAACCUAAAUUAUUGAAGAUCUACUCCUCCAAGCUCCACCUUGAAUUUUUUAUGAUAUAAUAUGUAUAAUUAUAAAUAAUAUGUUGUUAAUGAUUUUUAUGGUAUAAGAUGAAUAUUUUUUAUGAAUAAUUGUUAAUAAUAUGUACCAUUAAUAAUUUAUUUUUUUAAUUAAAAAAUGUAUUGUUAAUAACAAAAUUAAAAAAAAUUGUGUAUUGAAAAUUUACAUUAAUUUUCAAGGCAAAAUUAUUUUUUUACCUCAUUUUGAGUUUAAAGGGUAAAAUAGUCAUUUUGCUCAAAUUCCGUUAAGUUCUUAACGGCAGUUAACGGAAAGGUGGACGGUAGAAGUGUUUUGUCAACUUAGGGUAUACGAGUGAUGCACUUGAAAAGUGUUGUAGCACGUUUGAUAUUGGUGUCACUUAAAGGUAUACCGGUGAUAAUUUCCCUUUAAAAAAUAAGCAUGCAAAUCACACAAUAAUUCAUUCUAAUGCCUUAAUGAAAUCGAAAGUAAUAAAUUCAAUAAAUAAAAAAAUAAAAGGGUAAGGGAAGAGAAAAACAAACACGAGGAUUUUUACGUGAUUCGGCAAUCCCCGCCUACAUUCACGUCUCUAAGCACACAAUUUCACUAUCCAAGCCUCUCAAUGCUUCAAACACUUACAAUUGACUUCCAAUGUAUUAAUGAACCUUUACAACAAGAGAUUAUUUUCAAUAUCUUAUUCCAAGUGUAUCCCAACACUUACAACCUCUCAAUUUGAUUUUACAAAAAGAAUUAUAAAUCUUUCUCUCACACAAUGUGUUUGAAUACAAAUAAAAGCUCAAUAUGUGUGAAAAAGUGAAAUGAAUACAAAGUUUAUGCUCUUAGAUUUACAGAGAAUUGCUCAAAAUAUCAAUGGUUGUCUUAUCUAAAAUGAAUUUGAUUUGAGCCAAUUUAUAAUUGAGGAAGAAAACUAGUUGUUAUUGACUUUCUGGUGAUAAUUGGCUUGCCGCUUUUGUGAAUCUGGUUAGCUGCUUCAUGUUACCGUUAUGUUAAAAAAUUUAAAUUUUUGCACAUCCGGUAUACCGCUUUCAUGAAUCCGGUUAGCCGCUUUCAUUCCAGAGAGUUUCUGCACAUAACCGGAUUGCCGCUUUAUAACAUCCGGUUAGCCGCUUUGCUACAGUGCCGGCUACAGUGAAAUAUUUUCUAAAAUUAUAGUUUUACUCCAAAACUUUCUAUAACUGUAUUAUGGCCCAAAACGUUAUGAAUAGUUACAAAUGGUCCAAUUUCAGAAUUUCUAAAAUAAUACUUGUUAUUCCCAAAUUUUUCUGAAAUUAUUAUAUUGCCCAAACUAUGUGAAAUUAUAGAAUAGCCCAAAAGAUUUAAAUAUUUUCAAAAACUUCCAAAUCCAAAAUUCAAAACAAUAUUUAUUAAAAUCAAAGAUUGUAAAAUUCUUUCAUUUUAGUUCAUAACUUGAAAAACAACUUAACUCCAUAAAAUCAUUUUCUUAUUAUAAAAGCACAAUAUAUAAAUCUUUGUUUAAUUACUCUCAAUUUUCUUUAACCAAAAUAUGUGAUUUGAUAUCAUCAAAAUCAAUAUUUAUAGCCAUAUAGGCUAACAGUUUUUUAAUUUACUAAUUUUAAUCCUUCACAUUGUAAUAUUUAUUUACACAACUCUAUGCAUAUUUAACCGUUCGUGUGAAGAUCAAAAUCCGAUGUGCUUCAAACCCUAGGAUAAGGAACUGUUUGCUAUAAUUACCAGUACAAAUGCAGCUGAAGCUAAACACUUUUUCCUUGUAAGAUUCCAAGUUUUUCAUAUGUGGCUCAAGGAAGGAUUCACUUUUGAUAUAUUACAAAGAAGUAAAUCUAGUGCUUAUUUUUCGCCUAAAUGGAGUGUUGUGUAUAUAGAAAGGAUGAGAAAAUUGAUCAUUUGUCUAUUGCUUCAUGUUUAAGGGUGUUGUAUUAACAAAAAGGCAGUGAAGUUUUUUCAAGUCAUUCCAACUUCCUAUGCCUCCUUUUUUUAUGAAUAAUCAUUACAUUUUCUUGGACGGUAGAAAGCCAAGUCUUUGUGAAGUUAUAUUGUGCAACUUUUAUUUAGAUUAUUUGGCAAGAAAUGAAUAGGAGAGUUCUUGAUAAUGCUUACGAGGGACUUAUUUUUUUCUAUUUUGUUUUGCCUUGAUGUUGGCUACUCGUUCAUCUUUACUAUAAUCCUUCCGUUUGAUCUAAUAAAUCUAUUAGGAAGACAAUUUUUUUAUGCAUUACUUUAUUUUCUACAGAGGCAAAGAAUUAUUUAUGGUUUAUAUACUCGACUGUAAUGGUGUAAUGAAUACUUUACUCGAUUGUAGUCGUGUAAUGAUGUUACUAUACUCAAAUUUAGUUGUGUAAUGUAUAUUUUACUCGACUGUAGUCGUGUAAUAUAUACUUUACUUGACUGUAGUCGAGUAAUGCAUAUUUUAGUCAAAUGUAGUCGUGCACUGGAUACUUUAAUCGACUGUAGUCGUGUAAGGAAAAUUAUUCUCGAUUAGAAUGGCAUGCAAUUUUUCUGAUUGGUUUAGAAUUUAUUAUUAUGCAACUUUAUUUGUACUUAUAUUAUAAUUCAAAUAUUUUCUUUUUGUUUAUGCAGAUGGAAUCGAAAAUCAAGGAAUAUGAAAACUUUAAAGCCAAGAUUUCUAACCGAUCAUCACUAGAUGCAGAGGAGGAUAUAAAAAAUAAACUCUUUGAGGAGCAAAAAAAUAUUUUUAGGCAUUCUUGUUUCGGUCAUUUUUUGGAUGUGAAAGAGUUGAAGUUUUUGCUCAGUUACUCCACAGCAUACCACUGAGAGAAGUGAAGACCGAUGAGAAGAAAAUGUGGUUUAAGAUUUGGCCGUUUGCGUUGGUAACAUGAUAAAAUGCAGUCCAUUGUAUGAGUCGAAUCAUGCGAGUAUGUAACAUUCCGCAACAAAAAUCAGGGUAUAUUGUUUUUUCGACUUAGCAAUAAGAAUGGUGAUUUCUAACAAUUGAUUUAUAUGAUUUUUUUUAGUGGUGAUUGUAGAGCAUUUUUGUUGCGGUACUUGGAGGUCAUGGGCCAUAGACUUGAUUUCAAUUCAUAUUGCCAACAAGAUGAUGUUACACAAUUUCAAAAAGUAUUAGUUUUUAAAUUAUUUGGGCAUAGGUCUGAAAUACUAUCUAAGCAACUCAAGAAAGGGGGUGAAUUGGGUUAUCAAAAUUUUUGCAAAACAAACCACACAACAAUUUAAAUCUAAUGCCUUAAUAAGAACAAAAACAAUGAAUUUAAUCAAGUAAGAUAAUACAAGAGUAAGGGAAGAGAAAUCAAACACGUGAUUGUUACGUGGUUCGGCUAACCGUGCCUAUGUCCACGCCGCCAAGCUCACCGGGCUUGAGGAUUCCACUAAGCAAGCCUCCAAGGCUUUAACUGCUCUUACAAUUGACUUCCAAGGUGUCAAUGAACCUUUACAAUAAGAAAUUAUCCCCAAUCUCUUAACCCAAGUGUAUCCCAACACUUACAAUCUCACAAUUUGAUUUUAAAGAAUAUUACAAGAUAAAUCUCUCUCACACAAUGUGUUUGAUUACAAAUGAAAAUCCAAAGUGUGAGUAAAAUGAAAUGAAUAUAAGAAUUUUAGGCUCAAUGAAAGUUGUAUGCUCAAUAAUUUACUCAAUGAUAAUUGUUGGAAUCAUUUUUAUUUGAAUUUGAUUGAACUUAUUUAUAGUUGGAGCUAGAAACUAGCCGUUAUUGACUUUCUGCUCACUGUCGGAUCACCGUUAACUAGAUGUCAGAUUGCCAUUUAACUAGUCAAUAUGACCGUUGGGGUGAAUUUCAAAUUGUCGGAUCGCCGUUUUCAAAAUGCCGGGUCGUCGUUAGUGUCCAGAGGCUAAUCUUCAUUUUUGCUCGAUGUCGGCGAGCCGUUAUCAAGAUGUCGGAUCACUGUUUUCUACAGUGAAUGCUACAGUGAACUUAUUUUUAUAAAAUUAUAGUUUAGCCCCCAAACUUUAUAAAAUUAUAUUAUGACCUAAAACAUUAUAAAACUUGUCACACAAGUCUAUUUCUAGAAUUUCAAGCAAUAUUUGCUAAUUUCAAAGUUCUCAAACCUUUUUCAAUUUAAAUCAUUAACAUGAAAAUUAUAAAAUUACUUUUUAUUGAAUAUAAAGCCUUUAUAGUAUGAAAACUAUAUGAAAGAAUAAUUUGAUCUUUUAAAACAUUUUUAAUCAAGUUUGUUAUCAUCAAAAUCAAUAUUAAAAAAAUAUUUAUGUUAACAAGGUCGUGGAAAAAAAUUACAUAGUGUCCCACCCUUAAAAACUUCAUUGAUGUGUCUUUUUUUUGCGUUACUUAUCGUGAGAUGUAAUGGUUACAAUGAGGAUGUUGUUGAUAUUUAAUAUAAUUAAAGAUAAUUUGACAUCAUACAAAUGCUUUAUUUUUUUAAUCAAUUAACUAUUUUUUAUUACCGGGGAGAAUUCUAUGAUACAUACUUAAAAGUCAAAUAAGGAAACAAUAAGGUUCCAGCAAUUAAGAAAAACAUGCAGGCUGAUAAAUUUAGAAAAUACAAGUGAUUGUUGUUUACAUGUACAGCAUGGGACACAACUAACACAUUAUUCAAGAUCACCUCAGAAUUAGCAAGAUUACAAUUAGAGAUGUUAUACUUAAGGCCUAUUUGAGAUUGAAACUGGACAGUUGUAAUUUAAAAACUACAGUACUAAUGUAUUUGAUAAAUAUUAGCUGCCGUAUUUUGAAAGCUAAAUUGAUUUAAUUUUACAUAUGUAUAAUGAAAAAUUUAUUAUAUAUUUACUAAUUUUAUCAAAAUUAUUAUUUCAAAAUUAUAUUUAUUACAUAAUAUUAAAUUAUAUUUCAUAAUUAUAAUUUAUUUUCACAGCAAUUGUAAAGUUACAGCACUUCAAUCCUAAAAAAAGACACAAUAAUUCAGAUUUGGUGUCCGUUCGUAUUAUUAAUUAAGGAAACCCUCAAUAUUACUUCACUUCACGUGAUUCUCUUUGUAGCCUAAUUCCGAAAGCAUUUAUAAUCAACAUGAUAUUUCUUUCUCCAAUUAGGUUCUUUUCCUUAGACGUCUUGGAUGGAAUAAAUGAUGCCUUACCCCAAACUGCAAGUUGCAUAUUUUUUCGAUGAUUAGGCACGCCGGAUGUUAGCAGAAUUAAUUUUCUAAGUGGGUCUUCUGAAUUAAUUUUAUUAUUUGGAUAACAAGAUUUAGCAGAUCUGAUUACGUACAUUUGAGCCAUAUCUUGCAAUAAUUUUCGACCGACGGCGAGAAUCACGUGGCAAUAAAAAAUUAAAUUUUCACAAUAAUUUUUGUCACAACCUCUAUGAUCCCCAUCUUUUUCUUUUAAUUUAACCCUUAGCAAGUUAUUAAUUUAGUUAGCAAUUAGAUGCAUUCAGAAAAACGUUUUUUAAAACACUCCAACGCCUUUUCUUUUGGAUGGCACGACAGAAAAUUAUUAUGAACGCAUAUUAACGGUUUGUUUGGUAUUGUAGUCAGGUGGUUAUAAUUUGAAACUACAUCUUUAAAGUAUAUUGUAAACAUUUGUUAUUGUAUUUUGAAAACUGAGUUAAUUUUCUCCACAUUUGUAUGAUAAAAAAUCUACACAUUUUUAUUAUUUUUGUUAAAAUUAUUAUUUAGAAGUCAUAUUUAUCCUACACCAUCAACUUUUAUUUAACAAUUAUAAUUUAUUUAUUUUUACAAGACCUUAAAUAAAAACAACAACACUUUAAUAUCAAAUGGGGCCUAAUAGUAUAUAUGACUCUUUCGCUAUUAUAUAUAGAGCUCAAAUCCAUUGAUUUGCAUCAAAUAUCAAGUAACCCUACUUAGCCUAAUAAGGAUGAAUUUGAUCGAUGGAGACCAUGAUACUGAGCUACUUGAAGCUCAAGCUCAUGUUUGGAAUCACAUUUUCAAUUUCAUAAACUCCAUGUCACUUAAAUGCGCUGUUGAAUUAAGCAUACCAGAUAUUAUCAACAAACAUGGCAAACCCACGACCCUCAACGAUCUUGUUAGUGCCCUAACAAUAAACCCAUCAAAAACCCGAUGUGUGUAUCGCUUGAUGCGCAUUCUGAUCCACUCAGGCUUCUUUGCACAGCAAACGCUAAAUAGCAGCCGAAAUAACAAUGACGAAGAACAAGGUUAUGUUCUUACAAAUGCUUCUAAACUUCUCCUAAAAGACAGCCCCUUAAGCGUGACACCUCUCUUGCAAGCCGUGCUAGAUCCUAUUUUGCUAUCACCGUGGCUGAAACUGAGCACUUGGUUUCAAAGCGACGAUCCUGCGCCGUUUGAUAUGGUACAUGGGAAGAGUUUUUGGGAGUAUGCUGGGGACGAGCCAAAGAUUAACAAUUUCUUCAAUGAAGCCAUGGCAAGUGAUGCGCGGUUGGCAACAAGAGUGGUGAUACAUAAGUGUAAGAAUGUGUUCGAAGGUUUGAAUUCGUUAGUGGACGUGGGUGGGGCCACGGGAACUGUGGCCAAGGCCAUAGCUAAAGCGUUUCCAAAUUUGGAAUGCACUGAUUUUGAUCUGCCGCAUGUGGUUAAUGGCCUCGAAAGCGAUUUGGCCAAUCUCAAAUAUGUUGGAGGGGACAUGUUUGAGGCCAUUCCCCCAGCCGAUGCUGUUGUACUCAAGGUACGCGUAUUAAUUUUUAUAGUUUAACUAAAGUGGUUUCUUGAGCAUAAAAUUAAUAUAUAUACUAGAAGGAUCUCGAAUUACUUAUGUACACCAUAUACUCAUUUAAUUUU